RNAcentral lists this ribosomal RNA (963 nucleotides) under uncultured bacterium. RNAcentral's name for it is "bacterial SSU rRNA". It matches the Rfam family "Bacterial small subunit ribosomal RNA", at positions 96 to 1075 of the family's 1533-position model. The record is from RNAcentral.
AUCCGGACGGGUGAGUAACACGUAAGCAACCUGCCUAUCAGAGGGGAACAACAGUUAGAAAUGACUGCUAAUACCGCAUAUGCCAUGAGUAUCGCAUGAUACAAAUGGGAAAGGAGCAAUCCGCUGAUAGAUGGGCUUGCGUCUGAUUAGCUAGUUGGUGUGGUAAAGGCAUACCAAGGCGACGAUCAGUAGCCGGAUUGAGAGGUUGAACGGCCACAUUGGGACUGAGAUACGGCCCAGACUCCUACGGGAGGCAGCAGUCGGGAAUAUUGCGCAAUGGAGGAAACUCUGACGCAGUGACGCCGCGUGCAGGAAGAAGGUUUUCGGAUUGUAAACUGCUUUAGACAGGGAAGAAGAAGGACAGUACCUGUAGAAUAAGCUCCGGCUAACUACGUGCCAGCAGCCGCGGUAAUACGUAGGGAGCAAGCGUUAUCCGGAUUUAUUGGGUGUAAAGGGUGCGUAGACGGGAAGGCAAGUUAGUUGUGAAAUCCCUCGGCUUAACUGAGGAACUGCAACUAAAACUACAUUUCUUGAGUGCUGGAGAGGAAAGUGGAAUUCCUAGUGUAGCGGUGAAAUGCGUAGAUAUUAGGAGGAACACCAGUGGCGAAGGCGACUUUCUGGACAGUAACUGACGUUGAGGCACGAAAGUGUGGGGAGCAAACAGGAUUAGAUACCCUGGUAGUCCACACCGUAAACGAUGGAUACUAGGUGUAGGGGAUGAAUAAUCUUCUGUGCCGUCGCAAACGCAGUAAGUAUCCCACCUGGGGAGUACGGCCGCAAGGUUGAAACUCAAAGGAAUUGACGGGGGCCCGCACAAGCAGUGGAGUAUGUGGUUUAAUUCGACGCAACGCGAAGAACCUUACCAGGGCUUGACAUAUACAUGAAUACUUAAGAGAUUAAGUAGCUUUUCGGAGCAUGUAUACAGGUGGUGCAUGGUUGUCGUCAGCUCGUGUCGUGAGAUGU